GUCGAACGGUAGCACAGAGAGCUUGCUCUCGGGUGACGAGUGGCGGACGGGUGAGUAAUGUCUGGGAAACUGCCUGAUGGAGGGGGAUAACUACUGGAAACGGUAGCUAAUACCGCAUAACGUCGCAAGACCAAAGAGGGGGACCUUCGGGCCUCUUGCCAUCAGAUGUGCCCAGAUGGGAUUAGCUAGUAGGUGGGGUAACGGCUCACCUAGGCGACGAUCCCUAGCUGGUCUGAGAGGAUGACCAGCCACACUGGAACUGAGACACGGUCCAGACUCCUACGGGAGGCAGCAGUGGGGAAUAUUGCACAAUGGGCGCAAGCCUGAUGCAGCCAUGCCGCGUGUAUGAAGAAGGCCUUCGGGUUGUAAAGUACUUUCAGCGGGGAGGAAGGUGUUGUGGUUAAUAACCGCAGCAAUUGACGUUACCCGCAGAAGAAGCACCGGCUAACUCCGUGCCAGCAGCCGCGGUAAUACGGAGGGUGCAAGCGUUAAUCGGAAUUACUGGGCGUAAAGCGCACGCAGGCGGUCUGUCAAGUCGGAUGUGAAAUCCCCGGGCUCAACCUGGGAACUGCAUUCGAAACUGGCAGGCUAGAGUCUUGUAGAGGGGGGUAGAAUUCCAGGUGUAGCGGUGAAAUGCGUAGAGAUCUGGAGGAAUACCGGUGGCGAAGGCGGCCCCCUGGACAA
RNAcentral lists this ribosomal RNA (684 nucleotides) under uncultured Enterobacterales bacterium. Its description in RNAcentral is "bacterial SSU rRNA". It matches the Rfam family "Bacterial small subunit ribosomal RNA", at positions 61 to 736 of the family's 1533-position model. Lineage: Bacteria; Pseudomonadati; Pseudomonadota; Gammaproteobacteria; Enterobacterales. The record is from RNAcentral.